Small nuclear RNA from Ficedula albicollis (Collared flycatcher), 130 nucleotides. The record is from Ensembl. Lineage: Eukaryota; Metazoa; Chordata; Aves; Passeriformes; Muscicapidae.
AAAAAGGGCUUCUGCCGUGUUUGGCACGGGGUGGGGCUAGUCCCGCUCCCGCGGAAUCGACAUCAAGAGAUUUCGGAAGCACAAUUUUUGUGAAGAAGGGCUGCUGGUAACCGCUUGUUCCAGCACCCUG